CCCUCGAGAUGAGAUUUCCCAACUUCGGUUAUAAGAUCCCUCAAAGAUGAUGAGGUGAAUAGGUUCGAGGUGGAAGCGUAGCGAUACGUGGAGCUGACGAAUACUAAUCGAUCGAAGACUUAAUCAA
RNAcentral lists this ribosomal RNA (127 nucleotides) under Staphylococcus pseudintermedius. Its description in RNAcentral is "partial 23S ribosomal RNA". It matches the Rfam family "Bacterial large subunit ribosomal RNA", at positions 2796 to 2925 of the family's 2925-position model. The record is from RNAcentral. Lineage: Bacteria; Bacillati; Bacillota; Bacilli; Caryophanales; Staphylococcaceae.